UAAAAAUUUAAAAAUUAAUUUGAAAUUUUAUUAUUUUAAUUUUCUAGGAAAAAAAUGGACCUAUUUGAACCUAAAUAGAAAGUUGUGAGUUAAUGGGGACAAAAACUUGAAAAUAGAUUUAUUUUAAUAUAUGUUAACAGAUCAAGGGCAAAAUUGAGCUCUCAUCCAUAAAUGAAAACAUCAAUACUUUCCUAAUCAUUUAAAAUUAAUAGAAUUGUCAAAUUGAAAAUAAAAUUGGUCUGAUAUCUCAAAUUUGACAUGCUCAAUGUAUCAGCGAGUGAAAUCUGAAACAGGGUUUGCAGAAAUGUUUCUUUUAAGCUAUUUGUUUGUCAUAUUAAAAUUUAUGAACUUGUUUUGGUAGGCACCAGCAGAAAAGAGACAAG
This 383-nucleotide unclassified non-coding RNA is filed under the name Hevea brasiliensis (rubber tree). Lineage: Eukaryota; Viridiplantae; Streptophyta; Magnoliopsida; Malpighiales; Euphorbiaceae. The record is from RNAcentral.